This 466-nucleotide ribosomal RNA is filed under the name uncultured bacterium. Its description in RNAcentral is "partial 16S ribosomal RNA". It matches the Rfam family "Bacterial small subunit ribosomal RNA", at positions 28 to 507 of the family's 1533-position model. The record is from RNAcentral.
GAUGAACGCUGGCGGCGUGCUUAACACAUGCAAGUCGAACGGAAAGGCCCAAGCUUGCUUGGGUACUCGAGUGGCGAACGGGUGAGUAACACGUGGGUGAUCUGCCCUGCACUUCGGGAUAAGCCUGGGAAACUGGGUCUAAUACCGGAUAGGACCACAUUUUGGAUGGUGUGGUGGAAAGUUUUUCGGUGUGGGAUGAGCUCGCGGCCUAUCAGCUUGUUGGUGGGGUAAUGGCCUACCAAGGCGUCGACGGGUAGCCGGCCUGAGAGGGUGUACGGCCACAUUGGGACUGAGAUACGGCCCAGACUCCUACGGGAGGCGGCAGUGGGGAAUAUUGCACAAUGGGCGCAAGCCUGAUGCAGCGACGCCGCGUGGGGGAUGACGGCCUUCGGGUUGUAAACUCCUUUCGCUAGGGACGAAGCGUUAUGUGACGGUACCUGGAGAAGAAGCACCGGCUAACUACGUG